AUUGAACGCUGGCGGCAUGCCUUACACAUGCAAGUCGAACGGCAGCGGGCCCUUCGGGGUGCCGGCGAGUGGCGAACGGGUGAGUAAUGCAUCGGAACGUACCCGGGAGAGGGGGAUAACCGGCCGAAAGGCUGGCUAAUACCGCAUGAACUCGGAAGAGCAAAGCGGGGGACCUUCGGGCCUCGCGCUCUCGGAGCGGCCGAUGUCCGAUUAGGCUAGUUGGUGGGGUAAAGGCCCACCAAGGCGACGAUCGGUAGCGGGUCUGAGAGGACGAUCCGCCACACUGGGACUGAGACACGGCCCAGACUCCUACGGGAGGCAGCAGUGGGGAAUCUUGGACAAUGGGCGCAAGCCUGAUCCAGCAAUGCCGCGUGGGUGAAGAAGGCCUUCGGGUUGUAAAGCCCUUUCGGCGGGGAAGAAAUCGGUCAGGCGAAUAGUCUGGCCGGAUGACGGUACCCGCAGAAGAGGCACCGGCUAACUACGUG
RNAcentral lists this ribosomal RNA (485 nucleotides) under uncultured bacterium. Its description in RNAcentral is "partial 16S ribosomal RNA". It matches the Rfam family "Bacterial small subunit ribosomal RNA", at positions 28 to 507 of the family's 1533-position model. The record is from RNAcentral.